GUUGGCAGCCAUAUCACCCUGUAGCCCAAGACUGGUUGCCCACUGAAGCUAAGCAGGGCUGAGCCUGGUCAGUACCUGGAUGGGAGACCUCCUGGGAAAACUAGGUUGCUGCUGGAA
Molecule: ribosomal RNA, 117 nt
Filed under: Sinocyclocheilus grahami
Lineage: Eukaryota; Metazoa; Chordata; Actinopteri; Cypriniformes; Cyprinidae
Source: RNAcentral